Molecule: long non-coding RNA, 309 nt
Filed under: Macaca mulatta (Rhesus monkey)
Lineage: Eukaryota; Metazoa; Chordata; Mammalia; Primates; Cercopithecidae
Description: lncRNA (ENSMMUG00000049956.1)
Source: RNAcentral
UCUAGCUCAAAAGUAUAGUAUUUUGUAAUUUCAUGUUUAUGCUAAUUUUAUAAAGUAAAUAUUUAAUACAAACUUACUGUUUAUUCCCAAAUUCUCUUUCUUUUCUUUUUUCUUUUUCUUCAAGUGGACUGUUUAGUAUGGUUAUUUGGAUGAUGGUUUUGAUUUGGAGAAUCAAAAGCCAUGGUAUGUGAAGGUAGUUGGAAGAAUGGAGCAAUGGCAUUAAUUGCUCAAGAAAGUGCUAUUUUCUUCUGCCUGGGACUUCCUGGAGAACUGUGGUUCUGUUUGUUAGACUCCUGAUCUGGCGAGUGG